CCUAGGGGAGGCAGCAGUGGGGAAUAUUGGACAAUGGGCGAAAGCCUGAUCCAGCCAUGCCGCGUGUGUGAAGAAGGCCUUCGGGUUGUAAAGCACUUUCAGUGGGGAAGAAAGCCUUGGGGCUAAUACCCUCGAGGAAGGACAUCACCCACAGAAGAAGCACCGGCUAACUCCGUGCCAGCAGCCGCGGUAAUACGGAGGGUGCGAGCGUUAAUCGGAAUUACUGGGCGUAAAGCGCGCGUAGGCGGUCUGAUAAGCCGGUUGUGAAAGCCCCGGGCUCAACCUGGGAACGGCAUCCGGAACUGUCAGGCUAGAGUGCAGGAGAGGAAGGUAGAAUUCCCGGUGUAGCGGUGAAAUGCGUAGAGAUCGGGAGGAAUACCAGUGGCGAAGGCGGCCUUCUGGACUGACACUGACGCUGAGGUGCGAAAGCGUGGGUAGCAAACAGGAUUAGAUACCCUAGUAGUC
This 465-nucleotide ribosomal RNA is filed under the name Vreelandella stevensii. Its description in RNAcentral is "partial 16S ribosomal RNA". It matches the Rfam family "Bacterial small subunit ribosomal RNA", at positions 338 to 795 of the family's 1533-position model. Lineage: Bacteria; Pseudomonadati; Pseudomonadota; Gammaproteobacteria; Oceanospirillales; Halomonadaceae. The record is from RNAcentral.